Long non-coding RNA from Scleropages formosus (Asian bonytongue), 403 nucleotides. RefSeq lists it as uncharacterized. Lineage: Eukaryota; Metazoa; Chordata; Actinopteri; Osteoglossiformes; Osteoglossidae. The transcript has 3 exons. The record is from RefSeq and is a predicted model, not a curated record.
GUUCCCUGACGCCAGCAGCCGUCUGCCAACACCGCACGAACUCCUCGAUUGCGUGGCCCGUUCGGACGGACGGACGGACGCAGGCGAGGCGACAUGGAAAGCGGGGCUUUGCUCGGUGGCAGUUUGCUCGGACAGCAGCAAGCGGGUGCUCUGUAAAGGCACCCCCUCCUGCAGUGGGCAUGCAACUCUGCACAGACCAUUGUAGUCACGGUGCUUGCUCUGCUGGGUCAUCCCAGGUACUGCACACACGGCCCAAACGCCUGGGGUGCGUCGUGUGGAACUGCAGGAAGGGGCCGUCACGCAGCAGGCUCCUUUCUCUGUGUACAGCAGCACCUUGGGGCUGUUGCAGCAUUGAAACACCCCAGAGGGUCGCGGGGAACCGCAGCCAACCCGGCAACACAGG